GGUUUAGUGGCGGACGGGUGAGUAACACGUGAGCAACCUACCUUUCAGAGGGGGAUAACAGUUGGAAACGACUGCUAAUACCGCAUAACGUUGUAAAAGGGCAUCCAUUUACAACCAAAAGAGAAAUCUGCUGAAAGAUGGGCUCGCGGCCGAUUAGAUAGUAGGCGGGGUAACGGCCCACCUAGUCAACGAUCGGUAGCCGGACUGAGAGGUUGAACGGCCACAUUGGGACUGAGACACGGCCCAGACUCCUACGGAAGGCAGCAG
RNAcentral lists this ribosomal RNA (267 nucleotides) under uncultured bacterium. RNAcentral describes it as "partial 16S ribosomal RNA". It matches the Rfam family "Bacterial small subunit ribosomal RNA", at positions 89 to 354 of the family's 1533-position model. The record is from RNAcentral.